This 458-nucleotide ribosomal RNA is filed under the name uncultured bacterium. RNAcentral describes it as "bacterial SSU rRNA". It matches the Rfam family "Bacterial small subunit ribosomal RNA", at positions 340 to 786 of the family's 1533-position model. The record is from RNAcentral.
UACGCGGAAGGCAGCAGUGGGGAAUAUUGCACAAUGGGCGAAAGCCUGAUGCAGCUAUGCCGCGUGUAUGAAGAAGGCCUUAGGGUUGUAAAGUACUUUCAUCGGGGAGGAAAAAACAAAACUAAUAAUUUUAUUUCUUGACGUUACCCGAAAAAGAAGCACCGGCUAACUCCGUGCCAGCAGCCGCGGUAAUACGGAGGGUGCUAGCGUUAAUCAGAAUUACUGGGCGUAAAGAGCACGUAGGUGGUUUUUUUAAGUCAGAUGUGAAAUCCCUGGGCUUAACCUGGAACUGCAUUUUGAAACUGAAAUACUAGAGUAUCGUAGAGGGAGGUAGAAUUCUAGGUGUAGCGGUGAAAUGCGUAGAUAUCUGGAGGAAUACCUGUGGCGAAAGCGGGCCUCCUAAACGAAUACUGACACUGAGGUGCGAAAGCGUGGGGAGCAAACAGGGAUUAGAUACC